CGGGACGUAGCGCAGCCUGGCAGCGCACCCGCUUGGGGUGUGGGGGGUCGGCGGUUCAAAUCCGCCCGUCCCGACCA
This 77-nucleotide transfer RNA is filed under the name Thermosulfurimonas dismutans. RNAcentral's name for it is "tRNA-Pro". It matches the Rfam family "tRNA". Rfam says of the family: Transfer RNA (tRNA) molecules are approximately 80 nucleotides in length. Their secondary structure includes four short double-helical elements and three loops (D, anti-codon, and T loops). Lineage: Bacteria; Pseudomonadati; Thermodesulfobacteriota; Thermodesulfobacteria; Thermodesulfobacteriales; Thermodesulfobacteriaceae. RNAcentral also lists the same sequence under 3 other names. The record is from RNAcentral.